AAAUAGACAAACCUUGGUUUCCGUGCCUAACAUUUGACCGCCCGUCUUAUUUAAAAAAAUUAUAAAAAAAAAUUAAAAAGACAAGUCACGCAUAAAAUAUUAAUCAUGUUUUAUCAUCUAACAACAAUAAAAAUACGAAUUAUAAAAAAAAUUUAUAUAAGACGGACAGUCAAAGUUGGACACGAAAACCCAUGGUUUGUUUUUUU
This is a non-coding RNA of Oryza nivara, 206 nucleotides long. Lineage: Eukaryota; Viridiplantae; Streptophyta; Magnoliopsida; Poales; Poaceae. The record is from Rfam.